GAUGAACGCUGGCGGCGUGCCUAACACAUGCAAGUCGAGCGAAGCACUUACUUUAGAUUUCUUCGGAAUGACGAAGUUUGUGACUGAGCGGCGGACGGGUGAGUAACGCGUGGGCAACCUGCCCUGUACAGGGGGAUAACAGUUAGAAAUGACUGCUAAUACCGCAUAAGCCCACAGCUUCGCAUGUAGCAGUGGGAAAAACUCCGGUGGUACAGGAUGGGCCCGCGUCUGAUUAGCUAGUUGGUAAGGUAACGGCUUACCAAGGCGACGAUCAGUAGCCGACCUGAGAGGGUGACCGGCCACAUUGGGACUGAGACACGGCCCAAACUCCUACGGGAGGCAGCAGUGGGGAAUAUUGCACAAUGGGGGAAACCCUGAUGCAGCGACGCCGCGUGAGCGAUGAAGUAUUUCGGUAUGUAAAGCUCUAUCAGCAGGGAAGAAAGUGACGGUACCUGACGAAGAAGCCCCGGCUAACUACGUG
RNAcentral lists this ribosomal RNA (481 nucleotides) under uncultured bacterium. Its description in RNAcentral is "partial 16S ribosomal RNA". It matches the Rfam family "Bacterial small subunit ribosomal RNA", at positions 28 to 507 of the family's 1533-position model. The record is from RNAcentral.